RNAcentral lists this ribosomal RNA (465 nucleotides) under uncultured bacterium. RNAcentral's name for it is "partial 16S ribosomal RNA". It matches the Rfam family "Bacterial small subunit ribosomal RNA", at positions 338 to 795 of the family's 1533-position model. The record is from RNAcentral.
CCUACGGGAGGCAGCAGUAGGGAAUUUUCCACAAUGGGCGAAAGCCUGAUGGAGCAACGCCGCGUGGGUGAAGAAGGUCUUCGGAUCGUAAAACCCUGUUGUUAGAGAAGAAAGUGCGUGAGAGUAACUGUUCACGUUUCGACGGUAUCUAACCAGAAAGCCACGGCUAACUACGUGCCAGCAGCCGCGGUAAUACGUAGGUGGCAAGCGUUAUCCGGAUUUAUUGGGCGUAAAGGGAACGCAGGCGGUCUUUUAAGUCUGAUGUGAAAGCCUUGGGCUUAACCGGAGUAGUGCAUUGGAAACUGGGAGACUUGAGUGCAGUAGAGGAGAGUAGAACUCCAGGUGUAGCGGUGAAAUGCGUAGAGAUAUGGAGGAACACCAGUGGCGAAGGCGGCUCUCUGGACGGUAACUGACGCUCAGGUUCGAAAGCGUGGGUAGCAAACAGGAUUAGAUACCCCUGUAGUC